RNAcentral lists this ribosomal RNA (393 nucleotides) under uncultured bacterium. RNAcentral describes it as "bacterial SSU rRNA". It matches the Rfam family "Bacterial small subunit ribosomal RNA", at positions 30 to 428 of the family's 1533-position model. The record is from RNAcentral.
AUUGAACGCUGGCGGCAUGCCUUACACAUGCAAGUCGAACGGCAGCGGACCUUCGGGUGCCGGCGAGUGGCGAACGGGUGAGUAAUAUAUCGGAACGUACCUUUCAGCGGGGGAUAACGUAGCGAAAGUUACGCUAAUACCGCAUAUUCUGUGAGCAGGAAAGCAGGGGAUCGCAAGACCUUGCGCUGAUUGAGCGGCCGAUAUCAGAUUAGCUAGUUGGUGAGGUAAAGGCUCACCAAGGCGACGAUCUGUAGCGGGUCUGAGAGGAUGAUCCGCCACACUGGAACUGAGACACGGUCCAGACUCCUACGGGAGGCAGCAGUGGGGAAUUUUGGACAAUGGGCGCAAGCCUGAUCCAGCCAUGCCGCGUGAGUGAAGAAGGCCUCGGUGUAA